CCUACGGGAGGCAGCAGUGGGGAAUAUUGCGCAAUGGGCGAAAGUCUGACCCAGCGACGCCGCGUGAGGGAAGACGGUCUUCGGAUUGUAAACCUCUUUCAGCAGGGAAGACAAAAGGACGUUACCUGCAGAAGAAGCCACGGCUAACUACGUGCCAGCAGCCGCGGUAAUACGUAGGUGGCAAGCUUUAUCCGGAAUUACGGGGUGGAAAGGGUGAGUAGGCGGGUUUGCAAGUCAGAUGUGAAAAUUAUGGGCUAAACCCAUAACCUGCGUCUGAAACUACAGAUCUUGAGAGUAGGAGAGGUAAACGGAAUGCCCGGUGUAGCGGUGAAAUGCGCAGAGAUCGGGAGGAACACCAGUGGCGAAGGCGGUUUACUGGACCACAACUGACGCUGAGACACGAAAGCGUGGGGAGCAAACAGGAUUAGAUACCCUUGUAGUC
Molecule: ribosomal RNA, 442 nt
Filed under: uncultured bacterium
Lineage: Bacteria
Description: partial 16S ribosomal RNA
Rfam family: Bacterial small subunit ribosomal RNA
Source: RNAcentral